GUAGGUGGGCAAGCGUUGUCCGGAAUUAUUGGGCGUAAAGCGCGCGCAGGCGGUCCUUUAAGUCUGAUGUGAAAGCCCACGGCUCAACCGUGGAGGGUCAUUGGAAACUGGGGGACUUGAGUACAGAAGAGGAAAGCGGAAUUCCAAGUGUAGCGGUGAAAUGCGUAGAGAUUUGGAGGAACACCAGUGGCGAAGGCGGCUUUCUGGUCUGUAACUGACGCUGAGGCGCGAAAGCGUGGGGAGCAAACAGGAUUAGAUACCCUGGUAGUCCACGCCGUAAACGAUGAGUGCUAAGUGUUAGGGGGUUUCCGCCCCUUAGUGCUGCAGCUAACGCAUUAAGCACUCCGCCUGGGGAGUACGGCCGCAAGGCUA
Molecule: ribosomal RNA, 372 nt
Filed under: uncultured organism
Description: partial 16S ribosomal RNA
Rfam family: Bacterial small subunit ribosomal RNA
Source: RNAcentral